This 767-nucleotide ribosomal RNA is filed under the name bacterium LZX12. RNAcentral's name for it is "partial 16S ribosomal RNA". It matches the Rfam family "Bacterial small subunit ribosomal RNA", at positions 56 to 730 of the family's 1533-position model. The record is from RNAcentral.
UGCAAGUCGAGCGGACUGAUGGGAGCUUGCUCCCUGAGGUUAGCGGCGGACGGGUGAGUAACACGUGGGCAACCUGCCUGUAAGACUGGGAUAACUCCGGGAAACCGGGGCUAAUACCGGAUAACCCGUUCCACCUCAUGGUGGAGCGGUAAAAGAUGGCCUCUGGCUAUCACUUACAGAUGGGCCCGCGGCGCAUUAGCUAGUUGGUAAGGUAANGGCUUACCAAGGCGACGAUGCGUAGCCGACCUGAGAGGGUGAUCGGCCACACUGGGACUGAGACACGGCCCAGACUCCUACGGGAGGCAGCAGUAGGGAAUCUUCCGCAAUGGACGAAAGUCUGACGGAGCAACGCCGCGUGAGUGAUGAAGGUUUUCGGAUCGUAAAGCUCUGUUGUUAGGGAAGAACAAGUGCCGUUUGAAUAAGGCGGCACCUUGACGGUACCUAACCAGAAAGCCACGGUCUACUACGUGCCAGCAGCCGCGGUAAUACGUUAGGUGGCAAGCGUUGUCCGUAAUUAUUGGGACUUAAAGCGCGCGCAGUCGGUCUCUUAAGUCUNGAUGUGAAAAGCCCACGNUUCACCCGUGNGANGGNCAUUGCAAACUGGUGAGACUUNGAAGUCNNAAUNAAGCGAAACNGGAANUNCNCCGUGUAGCGNUUGAAAUNCNUNAAUNUUGNGANNAACCACNCACUGGUCNAAUGNCACUCUUCUUGCNCUNUACAUUNNACCCUUAAUGCUCCGAAAGNUNNGUCGNGNCNAAACUCGAUUU